This 673-nucleotide ribosomal RNA is filed under the name Phlebia cf. firma UC2023027. Its description in RNAcentral is "eukaryotic LSU rRNA". The stretch from base 256 to 409 matches the Rfam family "5.8S ribosomal RNA". The record is from RNAcentral. Lineage: Eukaryota; Fungi; Basidiomycota; Agaricomycetes; Polyporales; Meruliaceae.
GAAGUAAAAGUCGUAACAAGGUUUCCGUAGGUGAACCUGCGGAAGGAUCAUUAACGAGUUUUGAAAAGGGUUGUAGCUGGCCUCGGCAUGUGCACGCCCUGCUCAUCCACUCUUAAACCAAUGUGCACUUGUUGUAGGAACGGUGAAAGGUCGAACAUUGUUUAUUUACUUUGCUCGACUGGAAGCCUUCUUAUGUUUUAUUAAAAACGCUUCAGUCAUAGAAUGUCAAUUUGCGGAUGACGCAAUUAUAUAUACAACUUUCAGCAACGGAUCUCUUGGCUCUCGCAUCGAUGAAGAACGCAGCGAAAUGCGAUAAGUAAUGUGAAUUGCAGAAUUCAGUGAAUCAUCGAAUCUUUGAACGCACCUUGCGCUCCCUGGUAUUCCGGGGAGCACGUCCGUUUGAGUGUCAUGGUAUUCUCAACCUUGGUAGCAUUUUUUAAAGUGUCAUCGAAGGCUUGGAUUUUGGAGGUCGUGCUGGCUCUCGUUAGUCGGCUCCUCUUAAAUUUAUUAGCGUGAACGUUUAUGGAUCGCUAUCAGUGUGAUAAUUAUCUACGCUGUUGGUGUUGAAGUAUGCACCGCUUCUAAUCGUCCUUGAGUUGGACAAUUGAUUUAACAUCUGACCUCAAAUCGGACGGGACUACCCGCUGAACUUAAGCAUAUCAAUAAGCGGAGG